Long non-coding RNA from Cornus florida, 1153 nucleotides. RefSeq lists it as uncharacterized. The transcript is spliced from 2 exons. NCBI's taxonomy places the organism in Eukaryota, Viridiplantae, Streptophyta, Magnoliopsida, Cornales, Cornaceae. The record is from RefSeq and is a predicted model, not a curated record.
CUUCUCAACUUCUAUCCGUUAUGUUAGUUAUGGCAGUUGUGUCAAUUUGCAGCCCAAUGGGUGUCACCAAAACAGGAAAUCAAUUUUCAUCUAGGACACAAUUUGUUUGGGAUAAGUGCAAAAAACCCCCUUGAUACCUAGGGAUAGUGUAAAACUAGUCCCUAUUUUUUUAUAAUGUGCAUGUUAGUUUCUAAAAUUCAAAAACUAAAUAUGAAAAUUUUAUUUUAUCCUUUUGAUUCCAAUUUUGCCCCUCACCCAUUAGUAUACACCGAACGGCCCAGCUCGCCCGAGAUGUGACCGGAUUGUCAUCGGAAAUUUCACCGGAAUCGAAUUUUCGUUGGAGAAAACGGGUGGGGCGUGUGACAGCGCGUAGCGUGAGAUCUACACGCUGCAUUUCUGGUGGCGCGUGCAGACGCGUGUAGUGGCUUUUAUUUGUAGCGUUGUGUUCAUCUUGGUCUUGUUGACCUUAUUACGUGAUUAAUGCGUGAUUUUGAUAACAAAGUUCCAUCAAAGCUCAAAACCACAAGAGAUCCAUCAAUAACAAGCCCUAAAAGCAACCAUACGAAUCGAAUCAAAGCUCAGUUGUCGACUAUAACGGUGAUAAGGUCCUCUCUUUCUUCAAGCUUGAGCUUGGGAAUGACGAGCUUGAGAACACCGUUCCUCAUCUGAGCCUCGAUCUGGUCCAUCUUAUAGUACUCACCUUCUGGAAUUGGGAUUGACCCAAAGUAAUUCCUCGAACCAAAGCUCCAUCAAAACCGUCUUCCACUUCUUCAGCUUUGACGUGGAGAAAGUGGGUUUCAGCCCAAACCCUCAAAUCGUCCUUAGAAAUACCAGGAAGCUAGAUCAAAGCAGAGGAGGUGCAGAUUACUGGAAAGUAUCUCAUAUCCCAGAGGUUCUAUUUGCAGCCUUUGUAGACGGUGAUUGGGAGGUGUACAAAAUCUGAGAAACACGGUGCAAGAGAGAUGAAGGCGAUCAUAGAUGACCUCAGCUGCCCACAUUGCCUUUUCCUUUUUCCAUUUCAGCCUCUUUUUUUUUUUUUUUUUCAUAGCCAGAGGAAGAAGGUUGGUUAUAAGAACCACUGAAUUGUUCACCAUCCAUUGGCCCACUUCGGAACUUCUUGGAUAGAACCAUAAGUUGGUUUUUUUUUUUUUUU